RNAcentral lists this ribosomal RNA (890 nucleotides) under Kocuria palustris. RNAcentral describes it as "bacterial SSU rRNA". It matches the Rfam family "Bacterial small subunit ribosomal RNA", at positions 331 to 1230 of the family's 1533-position model. Lineage: Bacteria; Bacillati; Actinomycetota; Actinomycetes; Micrococcales; Micrococcaceae. The record is from RNAcentral.
CCAGACUCCUACGGGAGGCAGCAGUGGGGAAUAUUGCACAAUGGGCGAAAGCCUGAUGCAGCGACGCCGCGUGAGGGAUGACGGCCUUCGGGUUGUAAACCUCUUUCAGCAGGGAAGAAGCCACAAGUGACGGUACCUGCAGAAGAAGCGCCGGCUAACUACGUGCCAGCAGCCGCGGUAAUACGUAGGGCGCAAGCGUUGUCCGGAAUUAUUGGGCGUAAAGAGCUCGUAGGCGGUUUGUCGCGUCUGCUGUGAAAGCCCGGGGCUUAACCCCGGGUGUGCAGUGGGUACGGGCAGACUAGAGUGCAGUAGGGGAGACUGGAAUUCCUGGUGUAGCGGUGGAAUGCGCAGAUAUCAGGAGGAACACCGAUGGCGAAGGCAGGUCUCUGGGCUGUUACUGACGCUGAGGAGCGAAAGCAUGGGGAGCGAACAGGAUUAGAUACCCUGGUAGUCCAUGCCGUAAACGUUGGGCACUAGGUGUGGGGGACAUUCCACGUUUUCCGCGCCGUAGCUAACGCAUUAAGUGCCCCGCCUGGGGAGUACGGCCGCAAGGCUAAAACUCAAAGGAAUUGACGGGGGCCCGCACAAGCGGCGGAGCAUGCGGAUUAAUUCGAUGCAACGCGAAGAACCUUACCAAGGCUUGACAUAUACCGGAUCGUUCCAGAGAUGGUUCUUCCCCUUUGGGGUCGGUAUACAGGUGGUGCAUGGUUGUCGUCAGCUCGUGUCGUGAGAUGUUGGGUUAAGUCCCGCAACGAGCGCAACCCUCGUUCCAUGUUGCCAGCACGUGAUGGUGGGGACUCAUGGGAGACUGCCGGGGUCAACUCGGAGGAAGGUGGGGAUGACGUCAAAUCAUCAUGCCCCUUAUGUCUUGGGCUUCACGCAUGCUACAA